AGCUCAGGCCUUAAACACCUGUUUUUAUUAAUAACUCUGCGAGUCACCAAACACACUAGCUCUCUUUAAGGGUUUGUUCCGAUCAUGUGUGUCAAGUUACAUAAAGGUGGGUCAAGGCAAAGUGUUUCUGGACCUGUACCAUGCAUUAUUAGCCUGUUAGUAGCCUAAACUGACCUUUAUUAGUCUAACAUGAAUCUACUGUCAAUAGUUUAAAUGUAAAGGAAAAAUGGGAAUUAGAAGCAAAUACAGUUAUAACAGAUGAAGACUAAUGGCACAACUUACCCCACACAUGGGGACAAGAUGUGCCACAAAACCACUUUUUUUUAUUUUUUUGCUAAAGCUGUAUUUCUUAAACAGUUUAUAUUGUAGUUGGAGGCAUUACUCUAGUCGUGCUCUUGCACUUUACGAAAAAAUGGAACUUUUUAUCCCACACUCUCCCCUAUUUCAUUCCACUGAAACACAGUGGUGAAUGGACACACCUUUUCCUGACAUUUACGGUCCCCCACUUCACCUAUGCCCAUCCCCCACUCGCUCUGACUAACGGGGUCUCCCGUCAGUAUGAGCAGGGGUCAAGGCAGGUGCUGCUCUCAGUCGAUGAGGAGAACGUGAAGAAGAGGAAGCAAAAGAGAUGGAUGGAAAAGACAGCAACAGAAGCUCGGCAAAAACGGAACGGAAAACCUACAGAACAACUAAACGAAAAUCUCUGGCCAGGUUUUCUGCACGCUUCCAGCUUCUGAAGGACCAUCAUGAAAAGUGCUUAUCCAAGCACACGGAGAAUGAGAAACACCACAUUCAGUCCUCAGGACUGCCACUCCAAGAAAAGGAGAAUACGUCAUCACAGGAGAUGUCAUCUGAAUUAAUCCCAGACUCCAACAGCUGGGUAUGCUCAGAGAGGUUCAAUCCACACACAAAAUACUCAAGUAGUGUGCUACCGUACACCACGUGUUCAAGAAACGAGUCAAUACAGUCUAUCAGGGUUUCCUUGAUGUAGAUUGCAGAGUUGUAAGAUUAAUCAAAUGAGAGACUAAC
RNAcentral lists this long non-coding RNA (1029 nucleotides) under Gouania willdenowi (blunt-snouted clingfish). RNAcentral describes it as "lncRNA (ENSGWIG00000017799.1)". Lineage: Eukaryota; Metazoa; Chordata; Actinopteri; Blenniiformes; Gobiesocidae. The record is from RNAcentral.